Molecule: ribosomal RNA, 433 nt
Filed under: uncultured bacterium
Lineage: Bacteria
Description: partial 16S ribosomal RNA
Rfam family: Bacterial small subunit ribosomal RNA
Source: RNAcentral
AACGAACGCUGGCGGCAUGCCUAACACAUGCAAGUCGAACGAGACCUUCGGGUCUAGUGGCGCACGGGUGCGUAACGCGUGGGAACCUGCCCUUAGGUUCGGAAUAACUCCCCGAAAGGGGUGCUAAUACCGGAUAAUGUCUUCGGACCAAAGAUUUAUCGCCUUUGGAUGGGCCCGCGUUGGAUUAGCUAGUUGGUAGGGUAAAAGCCUACCAAGGCGACGAUCCAUAGCUGGUCUGAGAGGAUGAUCAGCCACACUGGGACUGAGACACGGCCCAGACUCCUACGGGAUGCAGCAGUGGGGAAUAUUGGACCAUGGGCGAAAGCCUGAUCCAGCAAUGCCGCGUGAGUGAUGAAGGCCUUAGGGUUGUAAAGCUCUUUUACCCGGGAUGAUAAUGACAGUACCGGGAGAAUAAGCUCCGGCUAACUCCGUG